AAGGCCCACCCCAAGCUUGACCCAGGGGAAGAGGGCACAGAAGAAGCUGCCCAGCAUUCUCUCCAGACCUCCACUGUAAAGUGAGAGUGCCGAAAGGACUGGCGGCUUGGCCUGUGGGCUGCUGCAGCUCGUGAGGGUGAAGUCUUAGGCCAGGUUCAGGGAUCCGUUUGUCCUGAGAGCAUUCCUGUCUAACUGGCCCUUUAGGGACUUAGCAGUCAUGGUGCCUGGAAAGAGUCUCAGAGAUCUCGCCAUCUUUCGUCUUUAUUGAUAGAGCCUGGCCCUAGAACCAUCUUUUGGGUCACCUAAGGACCCGCAUUCCUAGCACAGUGACUGGCACCUACUAGGCACUAAAUCCACACGAACUGUUAUCAUCAUUAAAAGUCAGAUCAGUUCCUAAAAUAGGGUUAACCAUUCUCAAACACUUUGAAUCUGGAUGACCUGAAAGUAUUUGGGGUUGCGUGAAUCACCACAGAGGAACUGUACAGAAACUGAUUUUGUUAUUCUUAUUCCUGACAGAUAGCUAAGCACAGAGUGACUUCCUGAAAAACCCCAUAGAGUGUUAGCAAAGGCCUUGGGAAAAGAAUUAGGAGCCCUGCUUCGUCCCUUGCUAUGUUAGGCAGCAAAGCCUGCUUUCCUGCGCCAGGAACAGCAACCCGACAAUGCUCCCGCUGCCAGACCCUGGCUUCCCUGCCGAGUCAGGCAGGGUUGGAAAGGCAGACGUCAGCCAAGUGAGGCUCCAUUUGAGUCAUAUCCUGGUAAAUGUGUGUCAGAAGCAGGUGAAAGAUGUUAAACUUUAUACAAACUGCACAGGAGAUGAAAGGUGAGGAGCACAGCAUCCUGAGCUUCACUUUGUGCCCAAACCCGCUUUCCGUUAUGCAGAGAGAGACACACUGGCUACUUACAGAGCAGAAUGCAGAGCAGUCCCCGUGGCUGGCAAUGAGGAUGCAGCAGGGCAGCCUGGGUGCUGACAUUGGGGUCCGACUUCACCAGUCGCGGGACUCUGAGGCUCAAAAGAGGCAAUAACGGAACAACAACGUGAAUGUACUUAAUACUACUGAACUGGACACUUAAAAAUAGUUAAGAUGGUAAAUUUUAUAUUAUGCGUAUUUUAGUGUAAUUAACAAAAACCAAGCUGACAACAUGGACAGCAAAGUACUAAACAACAGCAACAACCGAGGCAAUCAUUGGCCCCCAGUCCUAAUAUGCAAGCAGUGUAACGGGGAAUGAAAGUGCUCCCUCCAUCUCCGGCCAAGCUGGAGGAUCCAGGGGGCCAUGGUGUGUGCACGCCCUCUGUGAAGGCCAUUCCAAUGUCCACUUUAAUUAUGAUGGUCCCAUCUGGGCCUCUGACCACCUGUCUCACCCAGCAUUGUCCUUGGGACCUAAGGGGAAGCGUAUCCUCACCAAAAGACAGCCUUCUCCAUGGUUGAAAUUUUCCUCCAGGGGCUCUGCCUGGGUCCUCGUCAGCACGCGCUCACUCUCAGACACUUACUGCAUCUGGCUCCCUGCACCCCCAGAGCUUGGGCAAAUGUCUGUGCCUUCCUGUUCCUCAGCUGAUAUUUUCAAAGGAAUAUCACCAAGACCUAACAGAAAUAAAUGAGGAAAAAAUGACCAAAAAUACAAAUUGCAUAAGUAGAAAAGUAGCUUUACUUUAUUGAACACAAUCUAUAUAUUAGUCAUCAGGCUGAGUGCUUGACAGGUGUCAUUUUUAAUCCUGACAAUACUCUGGAAGGAAAUUAUUACUGUGCUUUUUCAAAACCAAAGGAACUGCUGCUCAGAGAUCUUAGGCACACAGUGAGGCCAAACCAAGACUCCAGCCCUGUUGACUGGCUGCGAAGUCUGUAUUUCCUUUUCCCUCUAUACUGCUCCUGGAUUCCCAUCAAGGGCCAUUCACAGAAACAGCAGAGAGCUUUAACAGAUGCCCACGUGUCCCAUGGUCACCACGCUCUACCCUGGUGGCAGGUCCAGGUUUAGGCCUUUCCUGCCUCUCUUGGCUCCUGCCUCCUUCUCAGUAAGCUCAUGGGGCAGGGGCUUCAUUUUCUUGGUCAGCAUCGUACCUCUGUUGCCAAGAGCAAAGCUUGACGUCCAGCAGGUGCUCAUAAAUAUUUACUGAAUAGAAGAGUGAAUGACUGAUCUCUUAGUGACAUCACAUUCUGCCCAGCACCCAAGGGCCGGUCUGUCAGUCCAUCUUGUCCUGCUAUCCAAGGACAGAUGUCAACUUUCUUUUCUUUUCUUUUCUUUUUUUUAAAGAUUGGCACCUGAGCUAACGAUGGUUGCCAAUCUUCUUCUUUUUUUUCCCCCCCUGCUUUUUCUCCCCCAACCCCCCCAGUACAUAGUUGUAUACUUUUAGUUGUGGGUUCAACUUUCAUUUGUAACUCAUUAUUCAGAUACCAGAGUCCUCAUUCUUAAUAUUAGUUUCUAACUCUAUUAGCUCUCAGUUAACUUACUGAGUUCUAUCAAAUGAGUAAGUCCUUUCAUAGCCUUAAAUUUCUCUCCCUCAUAAAAACUCCACUCGUUACAGCAGACCAAUUUUGUCACAAUAUCCUACAAUAGCUAUCCCAUAUGCACCCUAAAACUUAGCACCACUCUGUACCAGGGGACAGCCUUUCACAGAUGGGUUUGGAAUGUCCCACUUGGCUGAUGAAAUUGACCCCUCCUCCCUCCUUCCCGGAUCCUCCACCAGCACUGCGUUUCCUAACCUUCUUUCAAAGAACACAGCCCUUCCAGAAAGCCCUAAAGCUGUGUAAGUUUUGGCUGGACCCCAUUCAAGAUCAGUAUUUUACACUUAAUCUGCUUCUAGAUGGAGCAAUCAGGAUCAAGAGGAUUUAUGAGGAGUGUUUUCCUGCAGCCUGAACUUUCUCUCAUGUUUUAUCAUUUAUUUACAGUCUAGUGUCUUCAGUGAACUUCAGCCCCAUCCUGUGGCCUCCAGUUGUGUGAUACUAUCAGAUGGCCCCUUGCUGCUGGAGUGGAUGUUCUUGGCAAUGAAAAGAAGAAGUGGGGGCAAAGAUGAAGUAUGGGGCCUAGAUGCUUCUAGCAGUUUAGAUGGUGACUUCUCAGGAACUUGUUGUUAACUACUCUGCACCCCCUGCAUUGAUUAGAUUCUGGUUCUCUGGGGCCAGUUUCUUCCUGCUCUCUGGAGCCCCAGCUUCGCACCUGGCUGACUCACCUUUUGCACUGAGUUCAGCACUGGAGAUGGAGAGGGGUUGGGGAGGAGAGGAGAAAUUUUAGUGCUGUAUGAAUUCAGUUGGAAAAAUAAUCAUACAGGAUUUAAGCAAAUCUCAUAUUGCCCCUGGAAUGGUUUUAGGUUUUUUUAUAAAACCCAACCAGCGUCAGCUGAUGCCCCAUCUCUUCAAGGUCAAACAUUCCAAGAUUCUAGAGGGAGCAAAGCUGUGUUCCCAGAUUUGUCUAGAAGCCCUUUCUCCCCCCUCACCUUAACUGACGCCUGGAUGGUCCCCAUGAGGGAUUUCUUUUGCAGCCUCUCCCAAGCCUCCCAUUUGGAGAGUGGGGCUGCCCAGUUCCUUCUCUCCUGGUGUCACUUUGAGAUUACUGCUCAGAGGAACUCAUUCUUUUCUCAAGAGACUGUUUUCUUUUAAAGUUCACAAUGUUCAUUUUUUUCUUUGUGUGCUGCAAGGAGAACUCUGAUUCUGACUGAAAUUCUGCCAAUUAGAAAGAUUGUUUUCCAAUCGUCCUGAAAUUUUUCAGAGUUGCUCAAAGUGUUGGGAAAAUUGGAUACCAGAAUUUUUAGAUCCCUGGCCGACCAAGAGGCAUGGGCAGAAGGUGACCUGGUCUUCAGAGCUCUCACAAGAUCUCUGAGAGAGACCGGUAUGACAGUCCUUGGGGACUUUCCCCCUUUAUAAAUGCUGUGUUCAUUUUUUAAUAAGAUAUUUGACAUAUAUAAAAAUAAAAUAUAAUGUAUGUAAGGUGAAAAAAAUACUCCUGGACCACUCGCCCAACUUGAGAAAUAGAAUGUUGCCGGAAUGAUAAAGCAGCCGCGGGCGCUUGCUGCUGGUUGUCCCCUCACCACGAGGGACAUGUGUGUCUGUUGUUCCCUUGCCUGUCAUUGCAGUUUGAAAGCGUGUUUAGUAAAAUGAAUAUAUUUGAUAAUUUUGUGUGCAUUUGAACUUUAUGUGAAUAGUAUCACACAGGGUAAUUUUUUGUGCCUUCUGUUUUUCAGGUUCAUCUGAAUUGAUGCCGUUAGCCAUAGUUAAUUCAUUUUUGCUGCUGAAUAGUAUUCCGUUAUAUGACUAUGCCACACUUUUUUUACCGUCCCCUGCCUGUGUACAUUUGGCUAUUUCCCAUUAUGCUAUUGAUAGUAAUGCUGCUGUAAAUAUUCUUGGCCAUGUUUCCUGGGCACGUGGACGAGAUUUUCUCCUGGGUCACAGUAUUUCCUUUUACCAUUUUCUCUAUAUUCUCAUCUUCUCUGCUAGGAUUCUCUCCUUCUUCAGUGAUGUCAUUUCUGGUUAUUGUCCUCAGAGACUCUGCUGCACACACCGAUGGUAUAAACGUAAACAAGCCACAGUGCCUUUCCUUGGUCCGCUCCAGGGUGGCGGAAUAACUGAUCACAGCAGUCACGUUGUGACCCACUUGAAACCCCGACGCUGGAUUCUUGGAGGUCAGCUCGCCUGUCGUGCCGUCUUCCCCUCUCUCCUGGUCACCACGGCUCCUCCCUGCCUAAAGUCUCUAUCUUUACUUAUUCUUUUCACAGCACCCCCGCUUUUGGGUCCCAGGCAUUCUCCGCAUUCCAAGUCAGAUCUUUUCCCCGUCCUCAUGAUUCUAUCCCAUGGCCAAGUCCCUCAAUCUCCCCUUCACAUAUUUUCAUUUUCAGUCCAUAGUUUUUCUCUAAGCCCACCAAACUUGGUGGGGGUUCCCCAUGCCCCUCAAAUCCCCAACAUCUUUGAUUUUUUCUCUUAGACGACUAUCUCGCCUCUGCCUUUCCCUGAAGAACUUUGCUGCUUUUACCAACGUCUCUCAUCAUUUGACUUCUGCCCCAGCCUCUGUGGAAGAUGCCCUCUCAGAGCUCACCAGUGACCUCCCAAGGAUCAAGGCUGAAGGCUGUGUCAUUGUCCUUCCUCACCUGGCUGCACCCCUGCCCUCUGAAACUCCUUCUUUGCGUGUGGCACAUACUAGACACUCAGCAAUAUUUGCUGAAUGAAGUGGAAGAAGGCAAAGCUGGGAAACGGCAGAGGCAGGACUCGAAGUCAGGACUUCUUACUCCUAUUCCCGUGUGCUCUCACUGACCUUCCCCCAAAGCCGCAAGCACAUUGAGUCAGUUGUGCAGGUUGUCAUCUACUGUCUCGUGGCCGUGGACUGACCCUGAGAGUGAGAUUUAUUGCCUGGUAUUAGAAAAGCUUUAGAUUCCAGCUCCUCUCAAAGGAGUUGUGCAAAGAAGGGACUAAAGGACGUCAGAAAACAGUGGGCAUGUGGAAGACUCUGAGGCUGAAGGCAGGAAUCUUCCAAGACCCCAUCAAAAGCAAAAUGAAAACUCUUUUUAAAAGCUCAGUAAAAAGAGAAAGACACUUAAAAAAUUGAUAUUAACGUGAUCCCCAGGCUGUGUUUAUUGAAACAAUCUUAGGUCCAUAAUCAAAACAAUGUUUUAUCAUUUCCCCUCCAGGCUGGUCACAAGCUACAAACUGGAUCAUUUGACACAUCUCUUGUGCACUUGAAACUCAAAUUGAAACUCUGCCAUUUUAACUGUACAAAGAAAAAUAACUUUUCAAAGCCCCACAUAUAUAUUUUUCUGAUUCAUCCUUUUGAUAUUUUACUUGGACCAAAACCCAAAUUCACUUGGUUUUCUCCAAGCACAUAUUUGGGCUACUUCCAUCAUUGUUCUUGGAAAUGGUUUUUCCUUUUGACAUACUGUAUGUUCAGUAUACAACCUGGUCAACACCGUCACAGGCCACGGCACUGACUCCCUCGUGGGCUGUCAGGAGCAUCUCAAAAAGAUUAUGUCUCCACUUAGGCUCAUCAGCUGCUUGUUUUGCAAUGUUCAGGAAAACACGUGUGUGUGUGUUUAUGUGUUUAUGUCAGCGUGAGUUUUGUGUCUGCUGGGGGAAAUGCUGGGUUAGCAUGUUUUUCAGAGUUUGGAGAAUUUCUGUGGCUUAUUUGCUGAUAUGAAUAAAAGUCA
This 6121-nucleotide long non-coding RNA is filed under the name Equus caballus (horse). RNAcentral's name for it is "lncRNA (ENSECAG00000028692.3)". The record is from RNAcentral. Lineage: Eukaryota; Metazoa; Chordata; Mammalia; Perissodactyla; Equidae.